UAAGUCCAAAGUUGACUUGGGGUAGAUCUCAGCUCCAGCCUAAGCAUCAGCCAUCUUAGGCUCUGGCUGCUUUCUUGGUUCGCCGGAUGGCCCAUAGUUGUAAUGCAGAAUUCAGCAGUGCCUCUUCUCAGCACACCCUGUGGUUGACACUGCCUUGUCGUGGUUUGUGUACUUUGUCAUCUAAGCUGAAGCACUCUUAUAGUAUGUGGCCCUGUGUUGCCCUAGCAGUAUAACAGGCAUAAAAGAUAACUGGGUUUGGGAAACUUGUGCAGGCAGAUGAUGUAUACAUACUUACAAAGAAAAAGUGUGAACCCUUGAAUACCUGAAGGCAUGAGAUAAUGCAAACCUCUCAUGCUCUAAAGCAAGCUAUGAAGGACAAAAAUAGUGAGACAAUACAACCAGUUAAGAACAUAGGCAGGUACUGUUUAUUUAACUUAUUUAACUAGUCUUUUACUUUUUUUUAUACUUUCGAUUGGAAUCAUCAAAUUUUUUCAGUGAUUUGGAUAUGGUAACAUACACAAAAUUCACUGUCAAAAACAGCAAUCGAAAAAUUUAACAUACACUGUGUACUUCCAGUGCAGUACAGGAGAUAUGCACAAGAAUAAA
This is a long non-coding RNA of Rhipicephalus microplus (southern cattle tick), 606 nucleotides long. The record is from RefSeq and is a predicted model, not a curated record. Lineage: Eukaryota; Metazoa; Arthropoda; Arachnida; Ixodida; Ixodidae.